GUCUUUUAGAAUUAAAUUAAAAGUUUAACCUGCCCAUUGAUUUUUUUUAAAAGGCUGCGGUAUUUUGACCGUACAAAGGUAGCAUAAUCAUUAGUUUUUUAAUUGAAAACUAGAAUGAAUGGUUGGAUGAAAUAUUGACUGUUUUAAUUAAAAUUUUAGAAUUUUACUUUUUAAUUAAAAGGUUAAAAUAAAUUUAAAAGACGAGAAGACCCUAUAGAGUUUAAUAUUUAUUUAUUUUUAAUUGAUUUGGUUUAAUUUUUAUUAAAUUUAAUUAAAUAUUUUGUUGGGGUGAUAAUAAAAUUUUAUGAACUUUUAUUUAUAAAAUCCAUUAAUAUAUGAAUUUUUGAUCCAUUAUUAAUGAUUAUAAGUUUAAAUUACCUUAGGGAUAACAGCGUAAUUUUUUUUUAAGUUCUUAUUAAUAAAAAAGAUUGCGACCUCGAUGUUGGAUUAAGAUUAAUUUUAGGUGCAGAAGUUUAAAAUUUAAGUCUGUUCGACUUUUAAAUUCUU
This 507-nucleotide ribosomal RNA is filed under the name Leptosciarella rejecta. RNAcentral describes it as "partial small subunit ribosomal RNA". The record is from RNAcentral. Lineage: Eukaryota; Metazoa; Arthropoda; Insecta; Diptera; Sciaridae. RNAcentral also lists the same sequence under 1 other name.